UAGUUGAGGAAAGAGAUGAGAGGAAAGUAUCUGUGGCUGAGUCUAAGGGUAGUGAGGAAAAAUAAUACACCAUACACCAUAAUACAUAAUACAUCAGAAUACAUCAUAAUACAUUGAUAAAUGAGAUGUAUAACAUUUAGUCAGUAAAACUAAAUGUAUGUUUAGGCUGUGUUUACAUGUUAACGUUCGCUAUCAUGUUGUAUUGAUCAGUCGCAACCGCCACUUUUAUAUAGUUUUAUGUCACGACAUGCUCUGUGGAAUCGUCACAUUUAAAAUCUAAUGCUUAACCUUUUUUUGAUCAAUAAUUCUCAUUAAACAAAUGACCAAAAACGUCGUCUUUUGUGGAAAACUAUCUUUUUUCGAUGGUGUUUUUGCAUCUUGGCGGUUUACUAUAUUAGAAAUGUCCAACAUGGUUUAAAUACAGCGCAACUUUAUCAUUAACCUUUUAGACGUUUUUACAUUUCUUUGUGAGUAAAGUAUUAAACAAAAUAGCUUAAAUUGAAAUUCGACUGCCCGUAAGAAAAACUAGCCCAUGUAACGUUAGUUGUCUUAAAGAAAUGCAACCUCGUGCUCAUCAGCGUGGUGUUAGCUAGUACAUUUCGGUUAAUGCAAGUCUGUUGUAUCAUGACAUGCUAAAUAAAUAAAUAGAUAGUACUUUAUUUUGGAUAGAAAUUUUGUAGAAAACAGAUCAAAAGAUUUUUUUCUUGUCAUCAUGUAAAAAGCAAUCUAAUGUUUUUUUAUUACUCUGCAGAUUCAAAGCAAGGCUAAUCAAGAUGAUCUGGAAAUGAUUUUAUGAAAGCUUCAUUGUGGACAAGUUUUGCAGAUUUUGCAUGGCAUCCAGAAUUGACACACAACACCAAGAGAUGGCUUCUAAAGAAACCAUGACUUUGUGAGUUAUUCUUACAGAAGCUGAUAUCAGAAAAGUAAAGCUGACAUCAAAGCCAGGCUCAGUUGAAGAAUUAGUUAGUUGUUUAAAAAACACUCUGAGACUGGACUACAAUUUUACUUUACAGUUUCAAGAUCCCGAGGUUGAUAACGAACUUUGCAAUCUGACCGUUUUGUCAGAGCUCCCUCAGAAGCCAACUGUGAAAAUCAUUCCGGUGAUUGAACUUGUGCCACUCUCUUCAGGUGAAAUGGAGACAUCAAGUGAUAUGUUGAGUGAUGCUACAAGUACUGCAGACACAGUAUUGACCUCGGAAUUACCCCAGGAAAAAAGAAUGCCAUGGCCUGAUAUCUUUUUGACUCCAAAAUUCUCUGUCGAUGUUGAAUUUAGGCUAAUUUAAGCCAAUUUAAUCUACUUGAAAGAUGGAACGCACCUAAAAGUGACAAAGGAAUUGAAACAUGACAUUCUUCAGAAACUUGCAGAGACCAUAUAUUCCUGCAAAGCAUACCCAACUACUGAGGAUCUACGAGCUGUUGCAAAGGCUCUGGUCAAUACUCACCCCUGCCUUCAAGAACCACAAAUGAAAAACAGAAAAGAAAACAAAUUUAGAAAAAGAAAAACAAAAACAAAUUUAUAAACACAAAUGAUCGCCUUCCAAGUGGGUGACACGGGGGAGAGUAAAUUAUCAGGACAUUUUUAUUUGAAAGUGGAUUAAUCCUUUAAUAUUAUGAAGGGAUGAGAAUACUUUUUGUGCACAAAAAUAACGACUUUAUUUAACAAAAUACUCUCUUCUGUGUCAUUCUCUUCUAAUGUUUACGUCCAGGUUUCCAGGUUCUACAUCAAUAAUGAGUUGACAUUCUUAUGUACAACCUGGAAGCUCUGAACGUAAACAGUGUAUGAGAAUGACACAGAAGAGAGUAUUUUAUUGAAUAGUCUUUUCAUAACAUUUAAGGUUAAACCACUGCAGGCACUUCAACUGUAAAUUGCUGUUUAUGGAUGUCAGAUACCUCUUAAUUAGUGUGCUGAAGAUGAACAAAGGUCUUACAGGUGUGGAACAAAAUGAGGGUGAGUAAUUAAUGACAAUUUUAAUUUUGGGCCAAAGUAACACUUUAAGACUGUUAAGUAACUGUUAAACGUAUGAUUAAUAGAAAUUGCCUUCCUUUCAUGUUGACAAAUGAUACAAUGUUUUAUCUGCAACCACCACACCUCAGACCUCUGAUAUCGCAGACAUGCGAUGUGUUACCAUGAGAGGGCUUCCAGUACUUCUUGGUGAUGACCAAACUGAGUUCUUCAAAGCAUGCUUUGCUUCUGAUGACGGAGACUCGUACCAACAUGUGCCAGUUGGAAUCCUCACCUUAGAAAAUGAAGAUGUGGCUCUGCAACCCCUGCCCCUCCGUCUCCACCCAUCCUCGGUGGGAAUCAUCUUGGAGGGGAACGUUGUAAUGGACAAUUUAGACAACAUACCCCAGGCCAUGUGUCGACUUUUUGGUUCAACUUAUGCACUGCACCUAGACUACCCAAAGUGCAUGGGCAACACCUUUCUUUUCAUUCAGCAAGUUUUGCUAGGUUUAGGCAAGAAGGAGUUGAAGGGCAAGAUUCUGGCUGUUACAAAUCAGCUAACCAUGUAAACAGCGAACUAGGAGAAAGAGUGACAGAACUCCUUGUGAAGAUCCCCCAGUAUCUUCAAAAGUUCAUCUAGAUCUGCUGAAACCCAGUUCAGAGGAACAUGAGCAGCAUCUCCAUCCAUCAGCUCUAGUGGAUGACCAGAUUUCAGGACUUCUGCUGCAAGCUUAGGGAGAGAAGUGAAGGUUUUUUCUUUAUAUUGUUCAUUGGAUUGUUGUACAGAAAUAAAAGCCUCGUAUAUUUGAUUCAUA
Long non-coding RNA from Tachysurus fulvidraco (yellow catfish), 2757 nucleotides. RefSeq lists it as uncharacterized. The record is from RefSeq and is a predicted model, not a curated record. NCBI's taxonomy places the organism in Eukaryota, Metazoa, Chordata, Actinopteri, Siluriformes, Bagridae. The transcript is spliced from 5 exons.